This 891-nucleotide ribosomal RNA is filed under the name Cyphellophora eucalypti. RNAcentral describes it as "eukaryotic LSU rRNA". It matches the Rfam family "Eukaryotic large subunit ribosomal RNA", at positions 35 to 943 of the family's 3401-position model. The record is from RNAcentral. Lineage: Eukaryota; Fungi; Ascomycota; Eurotiomycetes; Chaetothyriales; Cyphellophoraceae.
UAAGCAUAUCAAUAAGCGGAGGAAAAGAAACCAACAGGGAUUGCCUUAGUAACGGCGAGUGAAGCGGCAACAGCUCAAAUUUGAAAUCUGGCUCCUUCGGGGCCCGAGUUGUAAUUUGGAGAGGAUGUUUCGGGCACGGUCCGGGCUUAAAUUUCUUGGAACAGAAUGUCACGGAGGGUGAGAAUCCCGUCUGGAGCUCGGACACGACCCAUGUGAAACUCCUUCGACGAGUCGAGUUGUUUGGGAAUGCAGCUCUAAAUGGGUGGUAAAUUUCAUCUAAAGCUAAAUAUUGGCCAGAGACCGAUAGCGCACAAGUAGAGUGAUCGAAAGAUGAAAAGCACUUUGAAAAGAGAGUUAAACAGUACGUGAAAUUGUUGAAAGGGAAGCGCUGGCAACCAGACUUGCGCGUCGGGGUUCCCCCUUGCUUCUGCCUGGGUUACUCCCCGGCGUUCAGGCCAACAUCGGUUUCGGGGGUCGGUUAAAGGCCCUGGGAAUGUACCUACCCUCCGGGGUAGACUUAUAGCCCAGGGUGUCAUGCGGCCUCCCGGGACCGAGGAACGCGCUUCGGCUCGGAUGUUGGCGUAAUGGUUGUCAGCGACCCGUCUUGAAACACGGACCAAGGAGUCUAACAUCUAUGCGAGUGUUAGGGUGUCAAACCCUUACGCGGAAUGAAAGUGAACGGAGGUAGGAAGCCUUACGGCUGCACUAUCGACCGAUCCUGAAGUUUACGGAUGGAUUUGAGUAAGAGCAUAGCUGUUGGGACCCGAAAGAUGGUGAACUAUGCCUGAAUAGGGUGAAGCCAGAGGAAACUCUGGUGGAGGCUCGCAGCGGUUCUGACGUGCAAAUCGAUCGUCAAAUUUGGGUAUAGGGGCGAAAGACUAAUCGAACCAU